UUGGUUUGAUACAAUUUCCUUUCGCACACUAUAAAUAGAGAGUCUACAUAGAAAAUAUGUGGUUUAGAAAUUACAUGGAAAUUGUGGUCUCCAACUUACAUAAGAAGAAAACAAAAUGGAAACGAUUAUUGAAACAAAGAAAUGACAAGCAAUGGCCCAAUCCAUUUGUAGUUUUGUGCCGACUACAAUGCUCGUGACCGUCUUUGUAGUGUUGUGCAUGCUUUUUGACUUUCCUUUGCUGCAAAAUCCCUGAAACAUAAUAACCACACAAACGUUUUAACACACCAACCACACACAAAUAUAUCAUCAUCAUCAACAAACCAAACCACACAAAGUAUAAACGCUUAAGGAAUAGAAAAACAUACUGCCUACAUUAAACAUUCCAGAACUUAAGUACAAACACUUAAGUUCCAAACUUGUUUUACAAAGAAACAAAACAUGAAAUAAAAAUACAUCUCCGAAAUGAUCAUAGCAAAGUCCUAAUCAAAAAAGGUCUUAAACCCUAACCAAAACUUCAGUACCUUAUGACUGAAGCAAACAUAAAAACUAGCUAAACAACCAUCUUACUCCAUCAGCUCAGCGAUCAGCUUCAGCUUUAGUGCUUCCUCUGGUUCAGAAAGCGGUUCCGGCUUAGCAAGGAGCCUCUCAAGAACCGCCAUUUUGGAAAUGGCUUUCUUCUCAGCUAAGUCUUUUGCCUUAACAUCCCACAUGGUCCGAAAGUCUCCAAGUACAGCCUUCACGUCAAUGAUUGUUCUCUUAUCCUUUGCUUUAGCCGCUUUAACACCAAUGGGUCGUUUGUUCAUUUUUUCUGCCUCAGAAGCCGUCUGUUCAUCGGUUGGUGAUUGAGAACCAUCAACCUGCUUCUUUCUUUUGUUGCUUCCUCCUACUUUGCUUGCUGCAUGGGUUGUCCACUUAUCCCACCUGAGUUCCUUCCAGGCAUGUUCCAGCGUGAAUUUUUUCUUGUAAAGGUUAAAAAAAAUUUCAUGAGCUGCUUUGAGAAUGUCAUUCUCAUUCUGACCAGAUGUCUUCUCCCUUGUUCCAUAUUCAUAAGCUCCCACGAACUUGCAUACCAAAACGUUGAUCUUCUGCCAUCGCUGUUUGCACUGACUUGCAUCUGGAUGAUCAUGGCCUGAAGACUUGGAACUGGCCGCAUAAAACUCAGAAAUUCUUUUCCAGAAGGGCCCUGCGCGUUGCUCAUUGCCGACGAUGGAGUCCUUACUCGUGUUAAGCCACGAGCUUAUCAGCAGCACAUCAUCUGCAGGACUCCAUGUAUUCCGAGUUGUCUUCUGUUCUCCACCCAAGGCUUCCACGACAGGUGAAGCAGGGACAUGCAUCUCCUCACCAAGGCUUGUUGGAUAACCACAGAAGACACUGUCUUGCUGUGAGUUUAGAAGCUCAACGAAGUUGGUCGCGUGUGAAAAAGGAGUCGGAGAACAAUACUCCAUUUGGAAAUAGAUAGAAGAAGAAAGAUAGAUGAGAGAAUGAGAAUGAGAAGAAGAACAGACAAAAAGGAAAAUGAGAAUGAAAGGAGAAUGAGAAUGAAACAAAUAACGAGAAUGAAAAGAAGAACAGAGAGUUAAGGAGAAUGAGAAUGAAAGGAGAAUGAGAAUAAGAGAGUCUUCUGCGUUAAUAAAAAGCAAAGAAGGAAGAGAAGCAUUGAAGAUACAUUGAAGAGAAGUAGAUGAAGCAUUGAAGAAAAAAGCAAAUAACACUCAAGCAACCUAUUUUCUCUAUCUAUCUACGUGAACCAAAAGAGCAUUGAAGAACAAUGAAAAAGCAAAUAGCACUCAAGCAACUUGAUUCUACAACUUGAUACUCAGCAAACAGCACUCAAGCAACCUAUUUUCUCUAUCUAUCUCUACUAAAACAGCAUUGAAGAACAAUGAGUAGACAUUUAUCUAACUCUUUUUUAAAACCAACCAUCGAUCUUAACACCAACUCUAACCAAUAAAUCAUUAAUUACCAUUUCACACAUCAAUUCAACUACUUCGCUAAACAGCAAUCAAGUUCUUCUACUUUACCAUCUACACUAACCUACCAUUGCCUUACACUAACUAGACAUUUAUUACAAAAUAACAGAGUUGAAUACAUACCUUGACAGCCGAUUAGAAGAGCAGGAUGUGAACAGAGUAAACAACAACCAUCACUUCGUCGCAACUUGAUUCUACAAAAGGAAAACAAACACUUAUUAGAUAUCAUCGAAUAUAAAACAUUUAAUGUGUUAAGCCAUAUAUCAAUUGUACGAAGAUCACAUAGAAUGUGUAAAACAAUAAAUCAUCAUCAUGUUACAAUUGUGUAUUACAAAGAGAUCAACUGAGUAAUUCUACCACUACUUCAUUCAAAUAAUAUCACCAAAUGAACCAGCCAAUAACAAGUUCAGGAUAGAAUUAGAGUCUUUAUUCCAAAUUGAACCCGAUGUAAAGUUCAAACAUCCAUCACUAAACAAAUUAAUGUGCUCCGAUUGAGCAAAUCAAGGGAAGAAGUCGAAGCAUAAUCAAAAAAAGGUGUGAGACUUAGCUUAUCUGUCGAUUCGGUGGACAUGCAGAACACUUUGAUGAGUCGAUUUCCUCAACAAAACCCCGAUGAUUCUUUGCUGUUUCUGAUCGGAGGAGACGGCCAAUAAUGACUCCGAUGAGCCGAUUUUCACAAGCAGGACAUAUAAGACAUGCAAAAAUCAAAGUUUUUUUUUCGUCGAUUCAGUGUGAGGAGAAAACGUUUCGUCGAUCAAAAAAUUUGGAGAAUGAUCGACGAUACAAACGAUGGAGAGAGAUGAAG
RNAcentral lists this long non-coding RNA (2775 nucleotides) under Eutrema salsugineum. RNAcentral's name for it is "long non-coding RNA (ESAL_LNC000287)". The record is from RNAcentral. Lineage: Eukaryota; Viridiplantae; Streptophyta; Magnoliopsida; Brassicales; Brassicaceae.